CUCCGUGCUCGCGCACCGAACGGUCUUACACGCUAUCCACCUCAGUCCCGUGACCCCCGGAGCUGCAAGGCCCGAGGGGAGUGAGUGUUGCCUCAGUCGUUGUUGCCUGCGUUGUAUACCCGUCCCGUCCCCCUUCGGAGGGGGAAGGGUCGGCCCGACACCGUCCCACGUCCAUCCGGUGCCUCGCAAGGGGCUUCCGCGGAGGACCAAGAAGCUGCUCCCGCGAUCCACUCGCGCCGGCUCGAUCGGCGAGUUUGGCCCGUGGCAUGCCGCUGCUCUCUCGGAUGCGGUGCAUGCCGAGGACUAUCGGGGGCCCCGGUUCCCGCACGUCCCGAACGAACGAUUCGACUCGAUUCUCCUGAGAGACGCUCGCGUCCGACGCCCGCAGGGCCCGGCGCGCGAGACGUCGCGGAGGGUUGCUACCUGGUUGAUCCUGCCAG
Molecule: unclassified non-coding RNA, 440 nt
Filed under: Chamaecrista pilosa
Lineage: Eukaryota; Viridiplantae; Streptophyta; Magnoliopsida; Fabales; Fabaceae
Description: partial external transcribed spacer
Source: RNAcentral